This 599-nucleotide ribosomal RNA is filed under the name uncultured cyanobacterium. Its description in RNAcentral is "bacterial SSU rRNA". It matches the Rfam family "Bacterial small subunit ribosomal RNA", at positions 120 to 752 of the family's 1533-position model. Lineage: Bacteria; Bacillati; Cyanobacteriota. The record is from RNAcentral.
AGAAUCUGCCUCUAGGACGGGGACAACAGAGGGAAACUUCUGCUAAUCCCGGAUGAGCCGUAAGGUAAAAGAUUUAUCGCCUAGAGAUGAGCUCGCGUCUGAUUAGCUAGUUGGUGAGGUAAAAGCUCACCAAGGCGACGAUCAGUAGCUGGUCUGAGAGGAUGAUCAGCCACACUGGGACUGAGACACGGCCCAGACUCCUACGGGAGGCAGCAGUGGGGAAUUUUCCGCAAUGGGCGAAAGCCUGACGGAGCAAGACCGCGUGGGGGAGGAAGGCUCUUGGGUUGUAAACCCCUUUUCUCAGGGAAGAAGCAAAUGACGGUACCUGAGGAAUAAGCCUCGGCUAACUCCGUGCCAGCAGCCGCGGUAAUACGGAGGAGGCAAGCGUUAUCCGGAAUGAUUGGGCGUAAAGCGUUCGUAGGUGGCCUUUCAAGUCUGCUGUCAAAGAGUGGAGCUUAACUCCAUAAAGGCAGUGGAAACUGAAAAGCUGGAGUGCGGUAGGGGCAGAGGGAAUUCCCGGUGUAGCGGUGAAAUGCGUAGAGAUCGGGAAGAACACCGGUGGCGAAAGCGCUCUGCUGGGCCGCAACUGACACUGAGGG